GUUUAGAUAGUUUAAUAAAAAUUUUAAUUUGUGGAAUUAAAGAUAUAGAAGAAAAUAAUAUAUUUUAAACA
RNAcentral lists this transfer RNA (71 nucleotides) under Trypodendron domesticum. Its description in RNAcentral is "tRNA-His". Lineage: Eukaryota; Metazoa; Arthropoda; Insecta; Coleoptera; Curculionidae. The record is from RNAcentral.